AUUGAACGCUGGCGGCAGGCCUAACACAUGCAAGUCGAACGGUAACAGGAAGAAGCUUGCUUCUUUGCUGACGAGUGGGGGACGGGUGAGUAAUGUCUGGGAAACUGCCUGAUGGAGGGGGAUAACUACUGGAAACGGUAGCUAAUACCGCAUAACGUCGCAAGACCAAAGAGGGGGACCUUCGGGCCUCUUGCCAUCGGAUGUGCCCAGAUGGGAUUAGCUAGUAGGUGGGGUAACGGCUCACCUAGGCGACGAUCCCUAGCUGGUCUGAGAGGAUGACCAGCCACACUGGAACUGAGACACGGUCCAGACUCCUACGGGAGGCAGCAGUGGGGAAUAUUGCACAAUGGGCGCAAGCCUGAUGCAGCCAUGCCGCGUGUAUGAAGAAGGCCUUCGGGUUGUAAAGUACUUUCAGCGGGGAGGAAGGGAGUAAAGUUAAUACCUUUGCUCAUUGACGUUACCCGCAGAAGAAGCACCGGCUAACUCCGUG
RNAcentral lists this ribosomal RNA (490 nucleotides) under uncultured bacterium. Its description in RNAcentral is "partial 16S ribosomal RNA". It matches the Rfam family "Bacterial small subunit ribosomal RNA", at positions 30 to 507 of the family's 1533-position model. The record is from RNAcentral.